UGGGAAUAUUGGGCAAUGGGCGCAAGCCUGACCCAGCAACGCCGCGUGAGGGAAGAAGGUUUUCGGAUUGUAAACCUCUGUCCUUGGUGACGAAGGAAGUGACGGUAGCCAAGGAGGAAGCCCCGGCUAACUACGUGCCAGCAGCCGCGGUAAUACGUAGGGGGCGAGCGUUGUCCGGAAUUACUGGGCGUAAAGGGUGAGUAGGCGGUUUUUAAGUUGGAUGUGAAAUACCCGGGCUUAACUUGGGGGGUGCAUUCAAAACUGGUAGACUAGAGUAUCGGAGAGGGAAGCGGAAUUCCUGGUGUAGCGGUGAAAUGCGUAGAUAUCAGGAGGAACACCGGUGGCGAAGGCGGCUUUCUGGACGACAACUGACGCUGAGGCACGAAAGCGUGGGGAGC
Molecule: ribosomal RNA, 398 nt
Filed under: uncultured Peptococcaceae bacterium
Lineage: Bacteria; Bacillati; Bacillota; Clostridia; Eubacteriales; Peptococcaceae
Description: bacterial SSU rRNA
Rfam family: Bacterial small subunit ribosomal RNA
Source: RNAcentral